Molecule: RNA transcript, 1473 nt
Organism: Eleginops maclovinus (Patagonian blennie)
Lineage: Eukaryota; Metazoa; Chordata; Actinopteri; Perciformes; Eleginopidae
Gene name: AP-1 complex subunit sigma-3-like
Exons: 7
Source: RefSeq, a predicted model, not a curated record
GACGCGUGCAGCAGGCACGGCCAGCAGGGCGGAGUUAACCAACUUUCACACUGUGCUGAACGACAGAUAGAUAUGUGUUUAGCCGGACCAGUUGACCCUUUGUAAGGGUUAGUGUUUUUUUAAAAUCAUUUCACAGCGUUUUUAAUUCUUGGAGCAGCGUCAAAAUGAUGCGCUUCCUGCUCCUCUUCAGUCGCCAGGGGAAACUGCGUCUGCAGAAGUGGUUCACGCCCAUGACUGAACGUGAGAAGAAGAAAAUCACCAGGGACAUGACCACCAUGGUGUUGUCACGGCAACCACGCUCCUGUAAUUUCCUGCACUGGAAAGACUUGAAGAUUAUUUACAAGAGGUAUGCAAGCUUGUAUUUCUGCCUGGCCAUAGAGAACCAGGAAAAUGAGCUGAUAGCCCUGGAGGUUAUUCACCGCUAUGUGGAGCUGCUGGACAAAUACUUUGGCAAUGUGUGUGAACUGGACAUAAUCUUUAACUUUGAGAAGGCCUAUUUUAUCCUGGAUGAGUUUCUAAUGGGGGGCGAAAUACAAGAAACCUCCAAACAAAUGGUGAAUCGCUCCAUUGAAGCCUCAGACAUGUUACAGGAGCCAGUGUUAUUGCGAGUGAGAGACAGAUUUUCCUGGAACGUGGCGUAGGUUUAGUGUUUGGCUGAUGCUUCCCGCUCUUCCUGUAGGGUCAUGGCUCCGUGUGGUACAGUAGUUAACUGGGGUGACAGCAGUGAGUGGUUUGAGGUGGAGCUGUUUGGAUGACCUUGAAUAUGGACAGAAAGACAAUGGAGGAGUAUAUGAGCAAACCUGCUUUUUAACCCGUCGGAAAAGGGACUGUAGGAAGAGCGGGGAGGAAUACAGGAACAAAAUGUACUGUAAAUGAAUCGAAGAAGUUUCUGAAUAUGGAUAUCGAGUUUACAUUGAUUCUAAUGAACAUUUUGAACACAAGACAAAACUGGCAUACUGAAUGUCUGCUCCACUUCUGCCUCGAGCUUUGCUGCAAUGUAACUGCAUUUAAGUCUAAUAUUAGUAUAGAGUCAUGCGCUAAAUUGUAGGAAGGGGGAGGGUUUUUUUUCACAUUGAUUGCUGUUUUUCAAAAUGUAAAUGAAGUAUAAAAAGGAUCUGGAUUUUAGAUUUCUAAAUUUGUGGAUUAUUAUUUAAGGCUUGUAUUGAUUUAUUGGAAGUGAGUCAAUUUAUUCUUAAAACACUGCCGAUUAAUUUUGGGAAAAACUGUUGUAAUCUCAUUCGACAGUGACUAUAAUAUUUUAAUACCAAAUAAUAAUAAUUUCAAAACAACAUAUUUCAAAACAUUGUAGUGAGAUUAAUGAUGAUAAAUGUCUUACUAUUUUGUAUCUGCCUAUUCCACAUUGUAGGGACCAUUGGUCUUUCAAAGGACUCACUAGUGUGGGUGAAUAUCACUUUUUUACCAUGUGCAAUUUCUGAUGUUGGAGCUUAAAAUAAAAAUAUGUAUUUUGAUUAA